GUCGAGAAUAAUUCACAAUGGGGGAAACCCUGAUGGUGCAACGCCGCGUGGAGGAUGAAGGUCUUCGGAUUGUAAACUCCUGUCAUCUGGGAGUAAGACCUGACGGUGAAUAGCCGGCAGGGUUGAUAGUACCAGAAGAGGAAGGGACGGCUAACUUCGUGCCAGCAGCCGCGGUAAUACGAAGGUCCCAAGCGUUGUUCGGAAUCACUGGGCGUAAAGGGAGCGUAGGCGGCGUGGUAAGUCAGAUGUGAAAUCCCGGGGCUCAACCCCGGAACUGCAUCCGAUACUGACAUGCUUGAGGGUUGGAGAGGUAGCUGGAAUUCUCGGUGUAGCAGUGAAAUGCGUGGAUAUCGAGAGGAACACUCGUGGCGAAGGCGAGCUACUGGACAACAUCUGACGCUGAGGCUCGAAGGCCAGGGGAGCAAAAGGGAUUAGAAACCCGGGUAGUCC
RNAcentral lists this ribosomal RNA (450 nucleotides) under uncultured bacterium. RNAcentral describes it as "partial 16S ribosomal RNA". It matches the Rfam family "Bacterial small subunit ribosomal RNA", at positions 354 to 796 of the family's 1533-position model. The record is from RNAcentral.